GAUGAACGCUAGCUACAGGCUUAACACAUGCAAGUCGAGGGGCAGCAUGGUCUUAGCUUGCUAAGGCCGAUGGCGACCGGCGCACGGGUGAGUAACACGUAUCCAACCUGCCGUCUACUCUUGGACAGCCUUCUGAAAGGAAGAUUAAUACAAGAUGGCAUCAUGAGUCCGCAUGUUCACAUGAUUAAAGGUAUUCCGGUAGACGAUGGGGAUGCGUUCCAUUAGAUAGUAGGCGGGGUAACGGCCCACCUAGUCUUCGAUGGAUAGGGGUUCUGAGAGGAAGGUCCCCCACAUUGGAACUGAGACACGGUCCAAACUCCUACGGGAGGCAGCAGUGAGGAAUAUUGGUCAAUGGGCGAGAGCCUGAACCAGCCAAGUAGCGUGAAGGAUGACUGCCCUAUGGGUUGUAAACUUCUUUUAUAAAGGAAUAAAGUCGGGUAUGGAUACCCGUUUGCAUGUACUUUAUGAAUAAUGAUCGGCUAACUCCGUG
Molecule: ribosomal RNA, 490 nt
Filed under: uncultured bacterium
Lineage: Bacteria
Description: partial 16S ribosomal RNA
Rfam family: Bacterial small subunit ribosomal RNA
Source: RNAcentral